Molecule: long non-coding RNA, 207 nt
Organism: Selaginella moellendorffii
Lineage: Eukaryota; Viridiplantae; Streptophyta; Lycopodiopsida; Selaginellales; Selaginellaceae
Exons: 2
Source: RefSeq, a predicted model, not a curated record
CUUUGCAGGCAGGAUGAAAACGCUACGGGGAACGAUGUCCUCUGCCAGGAAGACUUGAGGAUACUCUGGUAAAGAUGUGAAUCUCGCGGCUCGCCUUGCCAUCGAGCUACUAUAAUGAAAGCAACCAGAGGUAUGUGUCGAUUUGCUCUCUGCUCAGCUAGGACUAGAGAACCAAAUGGAAUAAGAGAAAGCUUUGCUUGGUGUGCA